Molecule: non-coding RNA, 7681 nt
Organism: Callithrix jacchus (white-tufted-ear marmoset)
Lineage: Eukaryota; Metazoa; Chordata; Mammalia; Primates; Cebidae
Source: RefSeq, a predicted model, not a curated record
GAAUGGCAGCUGCAGCAGUGCUGGAGAUGGGUGGGCAGCCAGGCAGGCCAGCUCUAGGACCCCGGCAGGGUCCUCUCCUAACUGCUGAUGUUCCACUCUUAAGUCCGUUUCUGGCUUCUGGGGUGUCUGUCCAGGGAGGCAGUGACCCAGCGACUGGCCUCUGCCUCACCCCCUACACCAGUCAGUGUUUCCACCGGGAUGCCUGGACAUCCAUGGAGGUGUGUGGCCAGAGCUCGUGAGGGCUGAGGGUGCCCACUGCAGCCUCAGAAGGGACAAGACACCUGUCGGCCUGCACCAGCCCCUCCCCAGCCUGGCCUGGUGACUUGGGUCACCCCUCUCUGACCUGUCUGGAGUGGACUCUGCUCCAUCUGGGCUGCUGGGAGGCUCCUGGGAGUGACUCCCUCUCCCCUCCAGAACUUCCCACUCCUGGGGCCGAAAGGUCCCAGCAAGCUCUCAAACUUCCAUCACUCGAAUUGAUUUGUGUUCCUGGGUUGAGAUUUAGGUUCUAGCCACCCUCGACUCCAGAGAAAGUAUAGUAAUAGUCAGAAAUCAGAAAGACCUGUGCAUGUGAGUCUGAAUGUAGCUUAUUAGCUGUGUGACCUUGGCCAAGUCGCUGAGCCACCCUGAGCCUCGGUAUCCGCCUCGGUCUCCUCCUCAGCUUCCUCCCUCUUCUGGGGGAUGUUCACAGCGCCUCCCUCACCAGCUUGUGCAGUGCUUUGCUCAUGGAGAGCUCGGGAGUCAGAGGCCAGAGGAGCGAGGAGCUGGAGGAGCUGGCUGGGGAAGUGGGCCUGGGAGCCUGGGAGCGGCACAGGGUGAGGAGGUCAUGGGUCUCACCGCUCCCCAGCCUCCCUCUUCCUCCUCACUGCUGACUUUCUCCCCAAAGCCAGGCACUUCCACCCCAGCACUGAGGAGGUUCCCGAAGGAGUCACUCCUGGGGGUCUCCCAGCAUCCUGGAUAGGGCAGUUUACUCCAGGGAGGACAGAGAGGGGUGUCCCAAACCACCAGGCCAGGCUGGGGCAGGGCUGGUACAGGGCAUGACACAUCAUGAGAGUCAGCCUUAUUCCAUCUGAAGCUGUGGGGGGUGCCCUCAGCCCUCCCGAGCUCUGGCCAUGCACGUCCUGACUCUGUUUCCCCCUCUAGUGACCCCUAGUUCCAGGGCUGUGAGCCACAGCUCCCUGUCCCCAGUAUCAGAAGCCCCCCAGGGAAAGCCAUUAAAUCUGGGAUUCCCAGAAUUCUUUGCUCCUUGCCAGCCCCUAGCAAGUAAGGAGCUCCUUGCUGGGCUGCAGUUGGCCCCCAGAGGCAAGGGCCACCACCCUCUAAUAAUCCAAGGGGAGGAUCUUGGGGAGAGCGUCAGCUGCUGAGGGCCAGCAUUCCUGGGUCCCGCACACUUCACCGGCUCUGCUCCCUCCUAGCUGCCCUCCUCGGCUCCUCUUUAGAGAAGCACCAGGAUCUGGGGUGGCUGCUCCUGCAUCCUUCCCUCCCCCAGAAUCCUAGGCCAGCCUGAGCCGGCUUGUUCUACCCCAACUUUACUGGCCCAGGCUUGUUCCUGUUUGUGUCAGGGAGACAGAACUGGAUCUGGGAAGCCCCAUCCUGGAGGAGGCAGGGACACAGCAGGGGAGACAUGGUGAUCGGGAAGUGCUGUUAGGGGCAUGGGAUGGGUCCAGGCUGACCACAGUGACACCUGUACCCCUAUCUCAAAGCUGCACCCCUGUGCCAGGCCUAGGAACUCCUGCUACCUUUUGGGUGAAGGGGAACGUCCCUUACCCCUUGCCCCUGGCUGAGAGGACCAGCAAACCAGCUCUGCUCAGCACUGGGGUGCCGGGGCCAGCCUGCCGGGAGGUCUAGGAAAGUGCCUGGUUCUUCGCCUGUGGCUGGACUCAGGACCUUGGCAGGAAGGUUUUAGGGUAGAAGAGAGUCCCCCGCUUUCUUCCAAGCCCAGAGCCAGCCAAAUGGACAUCUCUUCCCCAAUGUGGCCUUUUCUUCCCAGGGGCUCCCGUCCCCUCCCACUCUAUGUUGUCCCUGGACCCACUCAUGCAUCCAUCCAGACAGGAGUGUACACCCUCAUGGCCCACGUUUGCACACAUGCACACACACAGUGGCAAUCCACACAUACCCAGCCCCUCCUUGCUCUCCCAUGACCUUGUUAGGGGGACCUAGGCCUUCCCCCACUCCCUGGCCACCUUCCCUAUAGUAUAGGCAGCAGGGGGAGUAGGCCGCUUGGCUGUCCUGAGCCGCGCUGCUCCUCUACUACCCAGCGAUUACCUUUGUCCAGUGUGGGAGCUGCCCAAGGCCUGGUUUCAGGCUGUGGGAGAGCAGAGAGGGGCUAGAAGAGCGCUGCCUGGGACAGCUGCAGGAAGAGGCCAGGCCAAGUUCACAUUUGGGAGCCAGGACUCCGGACCUGUCCCUUGCCCUCCUCUGCCUCCUGCCUGGCUCUUUCCAGAAGGAAUCAGUAAGGUGCCCUGAGACUUCGGGGUAGUGGGGGGAACCCCAGGGGUUCUCUAGGGAGAGGAUGUGGGUUUGUCUGUGGGGGUGGUUGCCGGGGAGGAGAUACAGCCCUUGUGGUACAUUUUCUUUUGCUGAAUGGAGAGGUUUGGGCUGGGGAAGCUGCUUAUUUCUCAGAACCUCUAGGAGCCCUGUCUCCCAGUCCCCCAGGCAGGGUUAGGGGCUGUCAGCUGUGCCUCUUAAGGCCAGGUGCUUCCUCAAGGCUCUGCCCAAAGGACUAGCUAUGGAGUCUGUGCUGGGCCCCACAGGCCUCUCUUUUGUGGGGAUUCUUGGGCAGGUUCUGAUACCCCCUGCCUGUCCCUAGACCUGUGUCCUGUGCGUCUCUUCUUAGAUUCCAAAUUAGGGCACGUCCACCCCACCUGUCCCCUUUUUGGUUGCUGGUCAAGGCUACCAGAAAGAACAAAGUGAGGUGUCCCCAGGUGAGGUGGGAUAAGAGUGGGAUGAGAAGGCACGAUGUUUCCUCCACCUCUUGCCCAGACUGGGACCUGGGACCUCUUCCCUUUCACAUCAGUUUCCCUGGUUGCAACAUUCCCCUACCCCACCCCCGCCUUUCAACAGAGCACAUGUGCGCAGGCGCACACACAACCUGGAAAAUCUCCUGAGUCUGCAGUGCUGAGUUUCCAGGCCCCAUCUAGGGGCCGGGUGGGCGGCUCUGAGGUUUGGGGCUGGGUGGAGCAGGGGAGGGGCAAGCAGCCCCUGGCUGUGGCCUGAGCAGGGAUCCGGGCUGAGCUGGUCUUUGAGGCUGGCUUGUCCUCCCUCUGGGGCAGGCCCAGGAGAAUCCAGCUCCCACCGAGGCUGCCUUGGUGUUCAGACUUCUAUACCUGUCUGUUUUCCACACAUCCCCCCAUCCGCCCUGCCACUUCCUGAGUUUGUUCGAGUCCUGGGCUUCACUCCCAGGGCCCAAAGCCUUUUCUACUAUUCUCCUUUCUCAUCCUCAGCUGUCUGUGGGUGGGAGCACCUGGGUGAGCAGCUCAAGGUGACUUGCGGGCUCUAGUCAGGGGUAAAGCAGUUCAAGUUCAAUAUCUUUGAGGCCAGGCUUGCCUGGGUUUCUGCAGUGCCCAAAGCCAGGUGGGGGUUGGGAGGGGGCUGGGGAACCAGGGUGGACAUUGCUGAUCCAGGAGAUGAAGUGGGGGAAGGCAAGCAGAAGUCCUAGGUACUUGAAUUGCUCCUCAGAGGAUUCCCAGCGGACAGGACCCCAAUUUGGGAGGUUUGGAGUAGGGUCCGCCAUCUCUGCUCUAUGGAGUAUGAAGCCCCCAGGUUCAAGUCCAGCUUUUCUGCUCACACACGUAGGCUCUUCCCCUCCCUGGUUAUCAGCUUCCUCAUCUGGCAGUGGUGAGGUGGGACUGGAGGAGGCCCAAGGGCCAGGUAGGCUCUAGUUCUACAAUCGCUGUGACUCAGGGGCCUAAGGAUGUGCUUCUGUCCCUAAGAGCAUGGUGCCAUGUGGACAUAUAAAAGGAGACACAUACUUAGCUGGCCAUCCACCCAGGACACAGGAAUACGCAUCCACAUGGGGUCACCAGGACCAUACACACCGCCACGGAAACACUGUCUACCUCGCACCCGAUGACAGCAGACGCUGCGCCUUCCUCCAGGGCCAGAGAUGGGAGAGCCAGCUGUAAAUGUGUCCAUUUGCAAAGCCACCUCUCCUCUUGGUCUUUCCCAAGAGCACAGGACACUUUCCUCCCUGGAGAGCUGAUGGCUGGGAGUGGGGUAGAGGUAGGGAGGCAUCAGGAAAAGGUGGGUCUGUCUGCAGCAUGAGAGUCACAGUCCCCUUCCGCCUUCUGAGCCAGUGUCCACCUUUCUCCCUUCAAGAGUCUUGCCAAGGCUGGAGAGAUGGGGGCUCAGGCUCUGGGACUGAGAGGCAGGCCCUUGUUUUUGCUGCCUGCUGCCUGCUUCUGCUUGAAACUCUGCCCUUCCCACCCAUGCCUGCCUGCCUGCUUGCCUGCCAGCCAACGGGGCAAAGAGGGCCAGGGGCACUGGCUCCCCACCUUGCUGCUUCCUGACUUUACUCUGCAGAUAUUGGAAUGAGGCCCCCAAUCCCGUUCGCUGCCCUGCUCUGGCUCUGGGGAUUUGGGGCAGAGAUAAGGUGGGCAUGGGGGGCAGGCCAUCAGGUGGAGUCCCCGCUCUCCAGGGCACAUCUAGGCCUUCCACCACUCCACAGGCCUAGAUUAGCACUCUCUGCAUUAGCAGGGAGAGGCCGCUCCCUUUCCACCAGGGCCAGCAUGCGGCACAGCAAGUGAGGACAGGUGAGGACAGAUUGCUCAGCCUGCCUGGAGAACAGAUGUGCAGUGGGCAUGCCUCCGGGAGAUGCCCCUUGGCAUCUCUGAGUGGGGCUGUCAGACAUGGCAGCAGAGCCUUCUCUUGGACCCUGGCCCUGCCCUCCCACUCCAGUAGCCUACCCAGAGGCCCCUGUCCAUUUCCCUGGGUCUCUGCCCACUUUCUUCCCGUAGGAAGAAGCAUGCCCUUCCCUGGAAGGGAGUUCAGGCAGGAGAGUGGAGCCCCCUCAGCUGUCCAUGGACUGCAGCUCCACAGCCUCGGGAGCCCAUCCAGCCUGGAGGCCUCAUGGGGUGAUGUCCCUGGGGAGCAGGAUGGCCACCACCUUCUCCUCUCCCACCUACAAUCCCAGACAUUGGCACAUAGUAUCUCCCUGUCCCUGACACCCUGUCCUGCAAUUUUGGCAAUCUCUUGCCAGGUAGUGAGUAUAUUUUGGAAGUGACCACCUGGGCUGGCAACCUCCAAGCAAAAACCAGCCUCCACCAGUAAACAGGUAAGGUGGGCACUUGGGCAAGGCCUAGGGUGGCAGCCAAUCUGGGAGUGAUGGAGAGUCCAGAGCCUCAUAGGCAGCGGUGUUCCAAUGUGCCUGGGUUUCUGUGCUCCUGGUGCCAGUGUCUAUGCCAGCAUCCUGCUCCCAGGGCCUUUCUAGAGCCUGACUUUGUUCUCUCCAUCCGUCCUCUAGCCCCUGUGUCUCCAGAUCACCUGGUACUGCAUACCCUGGGCACCAGUGCCUGGCAAGCCUCCUGGAAUGGCUCUGAGAGGGCUGCUGGGCUCCACUUGGUGCUCACAGACCUCCUAGAUGGCACCACCCUGACUGCAAUAGUCAGAUGAGGAGUCUCAUGUCACACCUUCCUUCACCUGUCUCCGGGCACCCUUCCAUGAGCUGAUGCUCAGUGCUGCUGCUGGGCCCCAUCGGACAGCGGGGCCCAAUGCCACAGAGUGGACCUGUGAGUGCCUGGGAGUAAAGGAGACACAGCUGAGACUUCCCAGCUCUUGUUCGCGGGUCAAGUAGCCAGGAUACAACUGGCAGGGGAGAGGGUGUUUUGGAGGCUCAGAGGGAGUGCUCCUCAGUUGGCUGGUGGUGGACACCUAUUAAGGAGAUGAUGGUGGUGAUAGUUAUCAGUUGAACCCUUCUGUGUGCUGGACUCUGUGCUAAGCACUUUCUGUGUAUUGUUUCCUUGAAUCCUCAGAGCAGCCCUAUGGAAAUCAUAUUCUCCCCAUCUUACGGUAGAGGGAGCUGAAGUUCGGAGAGAGGAAGAGCCGACCUGAACUUGGGUUGAAAGCCCAUGUUGGCUUCCUCACAGCUUCACUGAGUUUUUACUUAGAGAAGCCCCGUUGUGCCGUGGUUAAGGGCAGACAAAGCAGCCUGCCUGCGUUCUGAGUCUUGUUUCUGCCACCCACUAGCUGUGUGUCUCUGGACACGUUGUUUACCUUCUCUCUGUGUUAGUUUCCACAUGUAGUACUCAGAACCACGCUGGCAGGUGCACGUUUGAUCACUUGAUGUGUUUAUUUCUGUUAUUGUCCACAGUCAGAUGGUAGCAGCCAGAUCCCAGUGUUCAUCCAGAAUGUGGUGGCAAGUGGUGGCUGCUCACAUUGGGACAAGGCAUGGCCAGUGCAUAGAGAAGCCGCACAGAACCAGUGGGCUUCCUCCCCUCUGCUAUUUAGGUCUUCCUGCACACAUUUCUUUUCUCCACAGAUCCCUCUGCCCCCUUCCACCUGGUAUUGACUCCCCUGCCUGCCAAGCUCUGGGCAAGCUGGAAGGUAGGGCCAGGUGCCUGGGAUGGCUUCCUCUGAGGUUAAGUGGGCCAGUCGAGAAGAACAUCACUCUGGGCCCUGAGGCCCUCAGGCCCUCAGUGCCACAUUCCCAGGGCCUCUGGCCACACCUGUACCUAUGAGUUCCUGGCUGCAGCCUAUGGGAGGCCAGCCCAGGGCCGUGGUCUGGGGGACUGGCACCCUCUACUCUGCACUUCUGUGCUCCAUAUUCUUCUUUUUUUUUUUUUUAAUUUGAGACAGAAUCUCACUGUGUCACCCAGGCUGGAGUGCAGUGGCAGGAUCUUGGCUCACUGUGACCUUCGACUCCUGGGUUCAAGUGAUUCUGCUGCCUCAGCCUCCUGAGUAGCUAGACUUACAGGCACCUACCACCUUGCCUGGCUAAUAUUUUUUUUCAGUAGAGACAGGGUUUCACCAUGUUGGCCAGGCUGGUCUGGAACUCCUGACCUCAAACAAUCUGCUCACCUCGGCCUCUCAAAGUGCUGGGAUUACAGGCGUGAGUCACUGUGGCUGGCCUGUGUGCCAUAUUCUUGACUCAGAAGGCCAUGAGUAUAAGAUGAGGCCUUUCAUGAAUCUAUUUGCAAGCAAUUUCUACCUCCUUCCAUCUGGUUGGUUAUCUACCCACUGUCUAUCCACUAUCCAUCUAUCCAUCCAUCUAUCCAUCCAUCCAUUCCACAAAUAUUCAAUGAAUGACUCCCAUUUUCUUGGUAUGAAACCAGUUACUGAGGCCAAAAAUGAUGAAUAGUCUAGGAAGACAAACAAGAUGGCAUAUAUAUAGCAUAUGAUUUUAUAUAUCAUAUCUGUUAAUGCACUAAUUGGAAUGUACAUAAUGCAUUAGUUUGAACCAUAUGAAAUUCCUAUAGGUGGCUCACACCUGUAAUCCCAGCACUUCGGGAGGCCGAGUUGGGCAGCUCACAAGGUCAGGAGUUUGAGACCAGCCUGGCCAACAUGGUGAAACGCUGUCUCUACUAAAAAUACAAAAAUUAGCUGGGUGUAGUGGCAGGCACCUGUAGUCCCAGCUACUCAGGAGGCUGAGGCAGGAGAAUUGCCUGAACCCAGGAGGCAGAGGUUGCGGCGAGUUGAGAUUACGCCAUUGCACUCCAGCCUGGGUGACAAGAGCGAAACUCCAUCUCAA